Molecule: long non-coding RNA, 942 nt
Organism: Hordeum vulgare subsp. vulgare (domesticated barley)
Lineage: Eukaryota; Viridiplantae; Streptophyta; Magnoliopsida; Poales; Poaceae
Exons: 3
Source: RefSeq, a predicted model, not a curated record
UUUGUCAGAUUUGUGCAUCUUGGACUUCGACAUCCCAUCUACGAUGCUAAUGGUUACAUGGCAAGUUGUUCUAAUUGAUGUUCCUGCUGUGAUUGGGGUGAUGUACAUUCAGUAAAUAGCAGUGCUACAUUGACAUGGAUGCAACAUUCAGGCGACAAAUAGGCGCGCACCAGCAGCGGCGAGGGGUGGGGUGGCAAAAGGCAGCGGCGGCGAGGAACGGUGCUCGAUCAGGCGCCAGGUCGUCUCGCCGUUGGGCACACCCGCGUGGCCCUGCCUACGGAAGCUGCCAGAGAGAGGAUCGGCGGCACGGGACUUGCCCAAAUCCCGCACCGGCGUCCACAGGCGUGAGAAAGUGUCCUGGGACGCGAGCAGCAGCACGCACUCCUGGUCCAGGAGAUCGUCACCCAAGAGCGCGCAGAGCUCAAGGAGGACGACCUCAACCAGAUCAUAGCGGGAGGCUCCGACGACGAGCGGAUGGGAUCUUGGCAGGAGGGGAAUGCGCAGAGGGGAUGACGGCUAGGGAACGAGAGGUGGUGGUCGUGGUGGGAGAGGAAUGCGCUGGCGCGCUUCCUCAACGGCGGCGGAGCAGUUACUGGACGGCGCACGUCCUGGGCGGCAUAGGUGCAUAAUCCCGCAGGUGCAUGUCCUGGGCAACCGUGGCGAUGCGUGGAAUCGCAGGUGCAGGUGGGUGGCGGUGGCGGAAUUAGAGGCGCAGGUCGCGGGCAGCGGCGGAAUCAGAGGCGCAGGUCGCGGGCAGCGGCGGAAUCAGAGGCGCAGGUGGGCUCAUGCUGAUGGGCGGCGCCGAAAUCUGUUGUCUGGCGUCUGUCCGUCGACGCGCGGUAUCAGCGAGGAAGAAGAUGGAGGCAUAGAUCGAUUUGAGACAGUUUUCGAAUUUUGAGGGCUUUUUUACAAAAACGCCAGUACACUGCGUGUCGCAUAAUC